This 1041-nucleotide ribosomal RNA is filed under the name Quercicola fusiformis. Its description in RNAcentral is "SSU rRNA". It matches the Rfam family "Eukaryotic small subunit ribosomal RNA", at positions 77 to 1130 of the family's 1831-position model. Lineage: Eukaryota; Fungi; Ascomycota; Dothideomycetes; Pleosporales; Astrosphaeriellaceae. The record is from RNAcentral.
UACCGUGAAACUGCGAAUGGCUCAUAAAUCAGUAUCGUUUAUUUGAUAGUACCUUACUACUUGGAUAACCGUGGUAAUUCUAGAGCUAAUACAUGCUAAAAACCUCGACUUCGGGAGGGGUGUAUUUAUUAGAUAAAAAACCAAUGCCCUUCGGGGCUCUUUGGUGAUUCAUGAUAACUUAACGGAUCGCAUGGCCUUGCGCCGGCGACGGUUCAUUCAAAUUUCUGCCCUAUCAACUUUCGAUGGUAAGGUAUUGGCUUACCAUGGUGGCAACGGGUGACGGGGAAUAAGGGUUCGGUUCCGGAGAGGGAGCCUGAGAAACGGCUACCACAUCCAAGGAAGGCAGCAGGCGCGCAAAUUACCCAAUCCCGACACGGGGAGGUAGUGACAAUAAAUACUGAUACAGGGCUCUUUUGGGUCUUGUAAUUGGAAUGAGUACAAUUUAAACCCCUUAACGAGGAACAAUUGGAGGGCAAGUCUGGUGCCAGCAGCCGCGGUAAUUCCAGCUCCAAUAGCGUAUAUUAAAGUUGUUGCAGUUAAAAAGCUCGUAGUUGAACCUUGGGCCUGGCUGGCCGGUCCGCCUCACCGCGUGUACUGGUCCGGCCGGGCCUUUCCUUCUGGAGAGCCGCAUGCCCUUCACUGGGUGUGUCGGGGAACCAGGACUUUUACUUUGAAAAAAUUAGAGUGUUCAAAGCAGGCCUUUGCUCGAAUACGUUAGCAUGGAAUAAUAGAAUAGGACGUGCGGUUCUAUUUUGUUGGUUUCUAGGACCGCCGUAAUGAUUAAUAGGGAUAGUCGGGGGCAUCAGUAUUCAAUUGUCAGAGGUGAAAUUCUUGGAUUUAUUGAAGACUAACUACUGCGAAAGCAUUUGCCAAGGAUGUUUUCAUUAAUCAGUGAACGAAAGUUAGGGGAUCGAAGACGAUCAGAUACCGUCGUAGUCUUAACCGUAAACUAUGCCGACUAGGGAUCGGGCGAUGUUACUAUUUGACUCGCUCGGCACCUUACGAGAAAUCAAGUUUUUGGGUUCUGGGGGGAGUAUGGUC